UCUAGAGCGAGCACAGCUCCUAGCUCAGUACGAAAACAAAAGUUUUUUUUAUUUUUAUAUAAAUACAUUUUUUUCGGCUAGGUUUAAGCAUAAAGUGAAAAAGUGAUAAUUUAUCCAAUAGUUAAUAUUUAAGAAUAAGACAACGAAUCAGAGUGAAUGUAUGUCAAAAUUUUUAAAGUGAACGCCAUUCUUUUUCUAAGAAGUGAAAACAAGGUCUACACGAUACAUUUAAACAUGUGGACGAUCUACACCAAGCCACAUCUCUCCUGCACCCUCCUUAUGCAGAAAGCUAGGACACUUUUCAAAAUGUAUACUUGUUGCCUGGGUGAGCAAAAUCUUUACUCGCCAAAACCGAUUCAUUCUACCAUCCUCUAACAUGAAUCCAUGCCAAUUUUCACAAAGUGUAUUUAAUAAUACGUUAAGCAUCAUUUAUCCCCACACCUCCUUAACAUAUUUCAUAAUCAUAUAAGUAUAAACAAAGUGCAUAAAAUCCACCCAAGCUGCUUCGAUAACUCCCCUGGUUCAGUCCACUCAUUGACAAGGAAAUCUAGAAAGUAAUUGCGAUAUCUCAGAGAAAAACUAAUACAAUUUAAAUAAUAA
This is a long non-coding RNA of Drosophila serrata, 600 nucleotides long. RefSeq lists it as uncharacterized. The record is from RefSeq and is a predicted model, not a curated record. NCBI's taxonomy places the organism in Eukaryota, Metazoa, Arthropoda, Insecta, Diptera, Drosophilidae.